RNAcentral lists this ribosomal RNA (495 nucleotides) under uncultured bacterium. RNAcentral describes it as "partial 16S ribosomal RNA". It matches the Rfam family "Bacterial small subunit ribosomal RNA", at positions 28 to 507 of the family's 1533-position model. The record is from RNAcentral.
GAUGAACGCUGGCGGCGUGCCUAAUACAUGCAAGUAGAACGCUGAAGGAGGAGCUUGCUCUUCUGGAUGAGUUGCGAACGGGUGAGUAACGCGUAGGUAACCUGCCUGGUAGCGGGGGAUAACUAUUGGAAACGAUAGCUAAUACCGCAUGACAACAGUUAUUGCAUGAUAACUGUUUAAAAGGGGCAACUGCUCCACUACCAGAUGGACCUGCGUUGUAUUAGCUAGUUGGUGAGGUAACGGCUCACCAAGGCGACGAUACAUAGCCGACCUGAGAGGGUGAUCGGCCACACUGGGACUGAGACACGGCCCAGACUCCUACGGGAGGCAGCAGUAGGGAGUCUUCGGCAAUGGACGGAAGUCUGACCGAGCAACGCCGCGUGAGUGAAGAAGGUUUUCGGAUCGUAAAGCUCUGUUGUAAGAGAAGAACGAGUGUGAGAGUGGAAAGUUCACACUGUGACGGUAUCUUACCAGAAAGGGACGGCUAACUACGUG